RNAcentral lists this ribosomal RNA (822 nucleotides) under uncultured bacterium. RNAcentral's name for it is "bacterial SSU rRNA". It matches the Rfam family "Bacterial small subunit ribosomal RNA", at positions 8 to 812 of the family's 1533-position model. The record is from RNAcentral.
AGAGUUUGAUUUUGGCUCAGGAUGAACGCUGGCGGCGUGCCUAAUACAUGCAAGUCGAACGCACAGCGAAAGGUGCUUGCACCUUUCAAGUGAGUGGCGAACGGGUGAGUAACACGUGGAUAACCUACCUCAAGGUUGGGGAUAACAUUUGGAAACAGAUGCUAAUACCGAAUAAAACUUCGUAUCGCAUGAUACAAGGUUAAAAGGCGCUACGGCGUCACCUAGAGAUGGAUCCGCGGUGCAUUAGUUAGUUGGUGGGGUAAAGGCCUACCAAGACAAUGAUGCAUAGCCGAGUUGAGAGACUGAUCGGCCACAUUGGGACUGAGACACGGCCCAAACUCCUACGGGAGGCUGCAGUAGGGAAUCUUCCACAAUGGGCGAAAGCCUGAUGGAGCAACGCCGCGUGUGUGAUGAAGGCUUUCGGGUCGUAAAGCACUGUUGUAUGGGAAGAACAGCUAGAGUAGGGAAUGACUUUAGUUUGACGGUACCAUACCAGAAAGGGACGGCUAAAUACGUGCCAGCAGCCGCGGUAAUACGUAUGUCCCGAGCGUUAUCCGGAUUUAUUGGGCGUAAAGCGAGCGCAGACGGUUGAUUAAGUCUGAUGUGAAAGCCCGGAGCUCAACUCCGGAAAGGCAUUGGAAACUGGUCAACUUGAGUGCAGUAGAGGUAAGUGGAACUCCAUGUGUAGCGGUGGAAUGCGUAGAUAUAUGGAAGAACACCAGCGGCGAAGGCGGCUUACUGGACUGUAACUGACGUUGAGGCUCGAAAGUGUGGGUAGCAAACAGGAUUAGAUACCCUGGUAGUCCACACCGUAAACGAUGA